RNAcentral lists this ribosomal RNA (1264 nucleotides) under Enterococcus sp. RNAcentral's name for it is "bacterial SSU rRNA". It matches the Rfam family "Bacterial small subunit ribosomal RNA", at positions 36 to 1287 of the family's 1533-position model. The record is from RNAcentral. Lineage: Bacteria; Bacillati; Bacillota; Bacilli; Lactobacillales; Enterococcaceae.
CUGCGGCUGACGCUAGAGAUUUGAUCUGGCUCACAUAGUCUUUGACCCGGUAGCCGAUCCACCGGAAAAAGAGGAGUGGCGAACGGGUGAGUAACACGUGGGUAACCUGCCCAUCAGAAGGGGAUAACACUUGGAAACAGGUGCUAAUACCGUAUAACAAUCAAAACCGCAUGGUUUUGAUUUGAAAGGCGCUUUCGGGUGUCGCUGAUGGAUGGACCCGCGGUGCAUUAGCUAGUUGGUGAGGUAACGGCUCACCAAGGCCACGAUGCAUAGCCGACCUGAGAGGGUGAUCGGCCACAUUGGGACUGAGACACGGCCCAAACUCCUACGGGAGGCAGCAGUAGGGAAUCUUCGGCAAUGGACGAAAGUCUGACCGAGCAACGCCGCGUGAGUGAAGAAGGUUUUCGGAUCGUAAAACUCUGUUGUUAGAGAAGAACAAGGAUGAGAGUAACUGUUCAUCCCUUGACGGUAUCUAACCAGAAAGCCACGGCUAACUACGUGCCAGCAGCCGCGGUAAUACGUAGGUGGCAAGCGUUGUCCGGAUUUAUUGGGCGUAAAGCGAGCGCAGGCGGUUUCUUAAGUCUGAUGUGAAAGCCCCCGGCUCAACCGGGGAGGGUCAUUGGAAACUGGGAGACUUGAGUGCAGAAGAGGAGAGUGGAAUUCCAUGUGUAGCGGUGAAAUGCGUAGAUAUAUGGAGGAACACCAGUGGCGAAGGCGGCUCUCUGGUCUGUAACUGACGCUGAGGCUCGAAAGCGUGGGGAGCAAACAGGAUUAGAUACCCUGGUAGUCCACGCCGUAAACGAUGAGUGCUAAGUGUUGGAGGGUUUCCGCCCUUCAGUGCUGCAGCUAACGCAUUAAGCACUCCGCCUGGGGAGUACGACCGCAAGGUUGAAACUCAAAGGAAUUGACGGGGGCCCGCACAAGCGGUGGAGCAUGUGGUUUAAUUCGAAGCAACGCGAAGAACCUUACCAGGUCUGACAUCCCUUUGACCACCUCUAGAGAUAGAGCUUCCCCUUCGGGGGCAAAGUGACAGUGGGUGCAUGGUGUCGUCAGCUCGUGUCGUGAGAUGUUGGGUUAAGUCCCGCACGAGCGCAACCCUUAUUGUAGCUGCAUCAUUCAGUGGCACCUCUAGCAGACUGCGUUGACAACCGAGAAGGUGGGGAUGGACGUCAUCAUCAUGCCCGUAUGACUGGCUACACUGCUACAUGUAGUAAACCGAGUGCGCAAGUCCGCGAGAGCCUAAGCUAAUCUCCUCUUUAAGAGC